Molecule: unclassified non-coding RNA, 306 nt
Filed under: plant metagenome
Description: partial contains 5.8S ribosomal RNA, internal transcribed spacer 2, and large subunit ribosomal RNA
Rfam family: 5.8S ribosomal RNA (bases 1-105)
Source: RNAcentral
GAAAUGCGAUAAGUAAUGUGAAUUGCAGAAUUCAGUGAAUCAUCGAAUCUUUGAACGCACAUUGCGCCCGCCAGUAUUCUGGCGGGCAUGCCUGUCCGAGCGUCAUUUCAACCAUCAAGCCCCCGGGCUUGUGUUGGGGACCUGCGGCUGCCCGCAGGCCCCGAAAACCAGUGGCGGGCUCGCUGUCACACCGAGCGUAGUAGCAAUCACCUCGCUCAGGGCGUGCUGCGGGUUCCGGCCGUUAAACAGCCUUACAAAACCCAAGGUUGACCUCGGAUCAGGUAGGAAGACCCGCUGAACUUAAGC